This is a long non-coding RNA of Xenia sp. Carnegie-2017, 365 nucleotides long. RefSeq lists it as uncharacterized. The transcript is spliced from 2 exons. Lineage: Eukaryota; Metazoa; Cnidaria; Anthozoa; Malacalcyonacea; Xeniidae. The record is from RefSeq and is a predicted model, not a curated record.
UAAAAUUCCUAAAUGUGCAUAUUGUUGGCCCCAGCCAAAUACGACGAUAGAAGUCGAGAUUGUCGUUCUUGAUUUAAAAAACGACAGAAAAUUUUACAAAUAUAUUGUAUAUAAUCACACUUCUUGUUACAUGAGUACAAACUUAACAGCCUUGAACUUUCAUCAACACAAGAAUCUAUCUUCAAACGAAAUUAACGAGACAGAAUUUACAACAAAAGUAAAAUACAAUCCACCAAACGUGAGAACAUGUAAUGACUAUUGCAAGCAUCCACAACCUCGUUUUCAUCUACACAGUGAAUAUACAAAGGUUGUUUUAUAUUAUCUCUUUAUCCUAUUCACUCAAUGCUUGCCUGGUUGCAAAGCAA